This 331-nucleotide ribosomal RNA is filed under the name uncultured Ruminococcus sp. RNAcentral's name for it is "bacterial SSU rRNA". It matches the Rfam family "Bacterial small subunit ribosomal RNA", at positions 28 to 339 of the family's 1533-position model. Lineage: Bacteria; Bacillati; Bacillota; Clostridia; Eubacteriales; Oscillospiraceae. The record is from RNAcentral.
GAUGAACGCUGGCGGCGUGCUUAACACAUGCAAGUCGAACGAAGCAUCUUAACGGACUUUCUUCGGAAACGAAGAUAAGAUGACUUAGUGGCGGACGGGUGAGUAACGCGUGGGUAACCUGCCUCAUACAGGGGGAUAACAGUUGGAAACGACUGAUAAUACCGCAUAAGCGCACAGCACCGCAUGGUGCAGUGUGAAAAGCUCUGGCAGUAUGAGAUGGACCCGCGUCUGAUUAGCUGGUUGGUGAGGUAACGGCCCACCAAGGCGACGAUCAGUAGCCGGCCUGAGAGGGUGAACGGCCACAUUGGGACUGAGACACGGCCCAAACUCC